RNAcentral lists this unclassified non-coding RNA (402 nucleotides) under soil metagenome. Its description in RNAcentral is "partial contains 5.8S ribosomal RNA, internal transcribed spacer 2, and large subunit ribosomal RNA". The stretch from base 1 to 121 matches the Rfam family "5.8S ribosomal RNA", at positions 35 to 154 of the family's 154-position model. The record is from RNAcentral.
GAUGAAGAACGCAGCGAAAUGCGAUAAGUAAUGUGAAUUGCAGAAUUCAGUGAAUCAUCGAAUCUUUGAACGCACCUUGCGCCCUUUGGCCAUUCCGAAGGGCAUGCCUGUUUGAGUAUCGUGAACACCUCAACUCUCAUGGUCUGCCAUGAUGAGCUUGGACUUUGGGGGUCUUGCUGGCCUACUGUCAGCUCCUCUCAAAUGAAUCAGCUUACCAGUGUUUGGUGGCACCACAGGUGUGAUAACUAUCUACGCUUGUGGUUUUCUGCCAGGUAACCUCCAGUGAUGGAGGUUCGCUGGAGCUCACAAAUGUCUCUCCUCAGCGAGGACAGCUUUUUGAACGUUUGAUCUCAAAUCAGGUAGGACUACCCGCUGAACUUAAGCAUAUCAAUAAGCGGAGGA